UUUUUUUUUUUUUUUACAAAUUAACCAAAAAUGUAGAUUCUUUUUAGUACAUCUAAUGUGAGGUUUUCCUUCUCCAUUGGUUCUUUCCCUUGCCUUGGCCUUUAUUCACACAGUAUGGUUGCAACUUCAAAUAGUCAUUCCCGGUGAAAGACCUCUCACACAAGCUGGCUGACAGCAAGGAAUCUGAAAUGGAGACAGUCCAUAACUACACACAGAUCAGGGUGGUACUGGCCAUAAAUCAUGGGUCCUCUUCUGUUGUCUUUAUUGAAUGCUGACAGUGGUCAUUGUGAUACAUUCUAAAGGGUGGUCCACGCAGCAUGUCCAGAGCUGUGAUAAAGGUAGGAAUUCCAUCCACAAUGAAUUUAGCAAAGACAAAAACCUCAUCAAAGCAAAGCCCCUUCCCUGAGAAAAAGUAAAAUCUAUUAACUUGUUACACUUUUGUCAAAAGUGCUGAUUUCCAUAGAGGUAACUGUCAGCCAUUGUGCUUAUGGACAAAACACCUGAAAAACAGAUUUAGAUGAGAACUGGUGGCUUUCUUCAAAAAUAAUUCCUGUCUAUUCUUAUGCCGGGAAGGGAUGCGCUGCAAACAUUAGCAGUAAGGAUGGUUUAUUUUAUGGGAAAAGCAAUCUGGUAGAUUUCAGACAGAACACUAAACUUGUGUGGUCAUGCAAAUCUCAUAAGCAUGAACUAAAACAUGCUGAGUACAUCAAUUAACCAGAGCUCCUAUUAGAUUUUUUUUUCCUACAAAAAUGGUUUCUCAUCUCAAAACAUCUUUUAAGUUGUUCCCCUUUCAAAGACUAAGGAUGUGCUCGUGGUAACAGACUGCUUCUCAUCACUAUACGGAGAGAAUUAAUCUAAUGAAGAGUUUCUAUUUAGGAAGAAGCAGUAGGAGGAAAGGGCAACCUAGCUUUGGAGCUUCCACUAGACUGGGUGGAGUUUUGCAGGCUGAAGAAGCAGCUGGAAAUUCGGAUGACAGUUUUGAAAGAUGGAUGAUCAGGAAAAGGUCACCGAAAUUGAAAUGGUGGGUGGGAAAGUGGAGCAGGCCAGGAGAAGGUGGCAAAACUGAAUCAUCUCAUGCGUGUUAAAGCUUUUAAGGAACUCUUUUCUUUUUACUUCAAACAGUUUGCUAUUCUCCCUAGUGACUAACUGUCCCAUGAACUGAAUAGACUAUUGGCCUUUUUUCUCCCACCCAAACCAAUUCUAAAAGCAAUUUUUUAAAUCCAGUGUAUAUGAUAAAAGAUAUACAAGACCUGAGUCAAAUCGUGAAUGUGUGUCUUCUGCUUAAGUAUGAAUUUUUUAAGGUGAAUGUUUGUUCCCAAACUACCUUAAAAACAUUGUGUGUAUUGACAAAACUAACUAUAGCUUAGAAAAUUCCUUUGGCACAAGCUGGCAUGAUCAGCCACAAAAUCUUCUUCUGACUUAAAAGCUGAACCAAAUAAAACUUGACAGCAAGGCACAGUAUUUUAUAGGCAAAGUGACAUUUUAUAAUAAUGGAAUAAUAAAUGCAGAAGGGAAAAUGAAGCAAGGCUGAAAUAUCAUCUCAGACCCAUUGGCUACCAAAGAGGGGUGAAUCUCAAUUAGACCUUUCCUAUUCCUAUUGCACUAGUAAUUAUGACAUGACUGAAGCACUCUUAAACUUAGAGAACUCCAAUAUUUCUAAUCAUGUUGUCACAUAUCUCCCAUCACUUGUUUCUAUGAGAAUCUGAUGAUACAGUGCGGAAGCCUUGGUAGCAUGCUGAAGUGGAUGGAAGAAAGCGAAGGGAAAAUCACAGGACCACUUUAUCAAGCACUUCGAUUUGGAACCAAAUCCAGCAAUGUUUAAGUCAUCCUGAUGAACACAGUCAACCCAAAGCAUAUCUACAAUUUGACAUAAAUCAGAUUACAAAUGGAAUGAAUAAAGACCACAAAAUGUGUUUUGGGUUCACAAUGGACUCCAGACUGGAAAAGCCCAUCAGUCCUCAUUUUCUUCACUUAGAAAGAGACUUUUCCACAAAAGGAUGAUGUUGGCGUAAUAGAGAAAAUAAACCGAGGCAACAAGGAACUUACAAUCAUCAAAUUUGUAGAUUGCUCCCAUGCUGAACUGUGCCUAUAAAAAUAACUGAGAAACCUCACAUGUGUAUGUAACUUGAAAGGUGAAUGACAAGAAGAGGUGAAUUGCAGGGACAUCGGUGACAGAAAACACAUGAUCGUAUUGGGAAGAGAUAGCAGUGUGUGCAUGUGAGCGUGCGC
This is a long non-coding RNA of Phacochoerus africanus (Common warthog), 2229 nucleotides long. RefSeq lists it as uncharacterized. The transcript has 3 exons. Lineage: Eukaryota; Metazoa; Chordata; Mammalia; Artiodactyla; Suidae. The record is from RefSeq and is a predicted model, not a curated record.